GUGUCAGCAGCCGCGGUAAUACGGAGGGUGCGAGCGUUGUUCGGAAUUACUGGGCGUAAAGGGCGCGUAGGCGGCUAUUUAAGUCAGAUGUGAAAGUCCACGGCUCAACCGUGGAAGUGCAUUUGAAACUGGAUGGCUUGAGUACUGGAGGGGGUGGUGGAAUUCCCGGUGUAGAGGUGAAAUUCGUAGAUAUCGGGAGGAAUACCGGUGGCGAAGGCGACCACCUGGCCAGAUACUGACGCUGAGGUGCGAAAGCGUGGGGAGCAAACAGGAUUAGAAACCCUAGUAGUCC
RNAcentral lists this ribosomal RNA (292 nucleotides) under uncultured bacterium. Its description in RNAcentral is "partial 16S ribosomal RNA". It matches the Rfam family "Bacterial small subunit ribosomal RNA", at positions 505 to 796 of the family's 1533-position model. The record is from RNAcentral.